RNAcentral lists this transfer RNA (64 nucleotides) under Nosodendron sp. BMNH 840466. Its description in RNAcentral is "tRNA-His". The record is from RNAcentral. Lineage: Eukaryota; Metazoa; Arthropoda; Insecta; Coleoptera; Nosodendridae.
AUUUAAGUAGUUUAAUUAAAACAUUGAUUUGUGGAGUCAAAGAUAUAGUUUAUUAUUUUAAAUA